RNAcentral lists this ribosomal RNA (468 nucleotides) under uncultured bacterium. Its description in RNAcentral is "partial 16S ribosomal RNA". It matches the Rfam family "Bacterial small subunit ribosomal RNA", at positions 28 to 507 of the family's 1533-position model. The record is from RNAcentral.
GACGAACGCUGGCGGCGUGCUUAACACAUGCAAGUCGAACGGAAAGGCCCUGCUUUUGUGGGGUGCUCGAGUGGCGAACGGGUGAGUAACACGUGAGCAACCUGCCCUUGACUUUGGGAUAACUUCAGGAAACUGGGGCUAAUACCGGAUAGGAGCUCCUGCUGCAUGGUGGGGGUUGGAAAGUUUCGGCGGUUGGGGAUGGACUCGCGGCUUAUCAGCUUGUUGGUGGGGUAGUGGCUUACCAAGGCUUUGACGGGUAGCCGGCCUGAGAGGGUGACCGGCCACAUUGGGACUGAGAUACGGCCCAGACUCCUACGGGAGGCAGCAGUGGGGAAUAUUGCACAAUGGGCGGAAGCCUGAUGCAGCAACGCCGCGUGCGGGAUGACGGCCUUCGGGUUGUAAACCGCUUUCGCCUGUGACGAAGCGUAAGUGACGGUAAUGGGUAAAGAAGCACCGGCUAACUACGUG